This 380-nucleotide unclassified non-coding RNA is filed under the name soil metagenome. RNAcentral's name for it is "partial contains 5.8S ribosomal RNA, internal transcribed spacer 2, and large subunit ribosomal RNA". The stretch from base 1 to 120 matches the Rfam family "5.8S ribosomal RNA", at positions 35 to 154 of the family's 154-position model. The record is from RNAcentral.
GAUGAAGAACGUAGCGAAAUGCGAUAAGUAAUGUGAAUUGCAGAAUUCAGUGAAUCAUCGAAUCUUUGAACGCACCUUGCACCCUUUGGCAUUCCGAAGGGUAUGCUCGUUUGAGUGUCAUUGUACUCUCACUCUCCCGAUCUUUGGAUCGGGAGUGGUGGACUUGGGUGUUGCUGCUUUACCGUGGCUCACCUCAAAUGGAUUCGUGCAACUCCUGGUUGGACAUAGUACGGCGUGAUAAGUGUCUUCGCCGGCACCUCAGUAGAGGGUGGCUGAUCAGGAGCUCUGUGCUUCAAACCGUCCUCGGACAAAAACUGACAACUUGACCUCAAAUCGAGUAGGACUACCCGCUGAACUUAAGCAUAUCAAUAAGCGGAGGA